CAGCAGCCGCGGGAAAACAGAGGGUGCGAGCGUUAAUCGGAUUUACUGGGCGUAAAGCGUGCGUAGGCGGCUAAUUGAGUCGGAUGUGAAAUCCCCGAGCUUAACUUGGGAAUUGCAUUCGAUACUGGUUAGCUAGAGUGUGGGAGAGGAUGGUAGAAUUCCAGGUGUAGCGGUGAAAUGCGUAGAGAUCUGGAGGAAUACCGAUGGCGAAGGCAGCCAUCUGGCCUAACACUGACGCUGAGGUACGAAAGCAUGGGGAGCAAACAGGAUUAGAGACCCCUGUAGUCCCUGUCUCUUAUAC
This 301-nucleotide ribosomal RNA is filed under the name uncultured bacterium. RNAcentral describes it as "partial 16S ribosomal RNA". It matches the Rfam family "Bacterial small subunit ribosomal RNA", at positions 509 to 807 of the family's 1533-position model. The record is from RNAcentral.